UGUUUUCUGUUUUGAUAACAUUUCCAUGACAGUUCUGCUUCUGAGAAUUCAUGACUGAAAAGCCUGAUAUAUUGAUUUGAGCCAUUG
RNAcentral lists this small RNA (87 nucleotides) under Triticum aestivum (bread wheat). Lineage: Eukaryota; Viridiplantae; Streptophyta; Magnoliopsida; Poales; Poaceae. The record is from RNAcentral.